CGCGGCCUAUCAGCUUGUUGGUGGGGUAACGGCCUACCAAGGCAUCGACGGGUAGCUGGUCUGAGAGGAUGAUCAGCCACACUGGGACUGAGACACGGCCCAGACUCCUACGGGAGGCAGCAGUGGGGAAUCUUGCGCAAUGGGCGAAAGCCUGACGCAGCAACGCCGCGUGCGGGAAGAAGGCCCUCGGGUUGUAAACCGCUUUCAGAAGGAACGAAAAUGACGGUACUUUCAGAAGAAGGUGCGGCCAACUACGUGCCAGCAGCCGCGGUGACACGUAGGCACCAAGCGUUGUCCGGAUUUAUUGGGCGUAAAGAGCUCGUAGGCGGUUCGGUAAGUCGGGUGUGAAAACUUUGGGCUCAACCCAAAGCCUGCAUCCGAUACUGCUGUGACUAGAGUUCGGUAGGGGAGCGGGGAAUUCCUAGUGUAGCGGUGAAAUGCGCAGAUAUUAGGAGGAACACCGGUGGCGAAGGCGCCGCUCUGGGCCGAAACUGACGCUGAGGAGCGAAAGCGUGGGUAGCAAACAGGAUUAGAUACCCUGGUAGUCCACGCCGUAAACGUUGGGCACUAGGUGUGGGUUCCAACCAACGGAAUCCGCGCCGUCGCUAACGCAUUAAGUGCCCCGCCUGGGGAGUACGG
Molecule: ribosomal RNA, 639 nt
Filed under: uncultured Actinomycetes bacterium
Lineage: Bacteria; Bacillati; Actinomycetota; Actinomycetes
Description: bacterial SSU rRNA
Rfam family: Bacterial small subunit ribosomal RNA
Source: RNAcentral